AGAGGUGUGCUAUUUGGCUAGCGAUCGGAUUGCAAAUCUGAUUUAUGUAGGUUCGAAUCCUACCUCCUCUU
RNAcentral lists this transfer RNA (71 nucleotides) under Magnusiomyces fungicola. RNAcentral describes it as "Saprochaete fungicola tRNA-Cys". It matches the Rfam family "tRNA". From Rfam's summary of the family: Transfer RNA (tRNA) molecules are approximately 80 nucleotides in length. Their secondary structure includes four short double-helical elements and three loops (D, anti-codon, and T loops). The record is from RNAcentral. Lineage: Eukaryota; Fungi; Ascomycota; Dipodascomycetes; Dipodascales; Dipodascaceae.